Molecule: long non-coding RNA, 735 nt
Organism: Phyllostomus hastatus (greater spear-nosed bat)
Lineage: Eukaryota; Metazoa; Chordata; Mammalia; Chiroptera; Phyllostomidae
Exons: 3
Source: RefSeq, a predicted model, not a curated record
CUUAUUGCUAGGCCAAGAUGGUGUGGAGCAAGAUGCCUGGUCACAAUGCAGAGAAGGGAUGGCUUCAAUUUGGGGAAUCCUUGGCCAAGUAGCCUACACAAGGGGAGGCAAGAAAGAUCUUGAGGAUCCCAAGGAACACACUGGGAGAGUCGCUGAUAGAGAGACAGCCAGGCACAAACUAAGUGUGGAGUCCCUGACCCUUUUCAAAGGACAUGGACGGUGUGGGCGAGUGUGGUGACGGCAGCGGCAGGUUCUGCCUGGCUCCCCGUGUGACCUCGGCCAAGUCAUCCAGCCUCUGGAUUCGCUUUGCUCACAUGUAACAUAGAAGACAUCAAUAUCCUUGCCCCAGAACUGCUGCGACAAAUAGCAUCUCAUAAGAGAAUAUUUGGGAAGACACUUUGGAAAUACCAGGAUUGCCAAAUGCUAAGUAAUUUUUGUUUGUGCCACCCUGUUUCAAUUAACUUGAGCCGAGAUGCUAUAGCAGCCAUGGUCCCAGCAGAAAGGGUCCUCUGAUUCGUUAGAUUCGUUGAUACUUUCAGCAGUGUCGUUAGAACUCCUCAUGGGUGUGACCCCCUUAGAGGUUUGUCUGAGCUUCACGUGGCCUCUUGUUGGCUUGUCAUUGUCCACCACACUGAAAGAACUUCCUUUUGAGUGUAGGUGGUGUCUGCCAGGUUUCUCUUGUAUGAAGUCACAAAUUUUCCUUUUAUAAUUAAAGCGCAAUGUGUGGGGAGAUAC